AUGCCUCUUGCAAAGGAUGUCCUUCAUCCCUCUCCAGAAGAGGAGAAGAGGAAACACAAGAAAAAGCGCCUGGUGCAGAGCCCCAAUUCCUACUUUAUGGAUGUGAAAUGCCCAGGAUGCUAUAAAAUCAGCACGGUUUUUAGCCAUGCACAAAUGGGAGUCUUGUGUGUUGGCUGCUCCACUGUCCUCUGUCAGCCUACGGGUGGGAAAGCAAGGCUGACAGAGGGGUGCUUCUUCAGGAGUACUCAGCACUGA
RNAcentral lists this long non-coding RNA (255 nucleotides) under Mus musculus (house mouse). RNAcentral's name for it is "long non-coding RNA chr7:42488800-42489055". The record is from RNAcentral. Lineage: Eukaryota; Metazoa; Chordata; Mammalia; Rodentia; Muridae.